Molecule: long non-coding RNA, 1636 nt
Organism: Tympanuchus pallidicinctus (lesser prairie-chicken)
Lineage: Eukaryota; Metazoa; Chordata; Aves; Galliformes; Phasianidae
Exons: 6
Source: RefSeq, a predicted model, not a curated record
AGCUAAAGAGAGAGAGGAUUAAUUAGGGCUGAUUCACAAGCAACUUAUCAUACCUACCAUCAUUGUUAGUUUCAGCCUGGCACUCUAUUUACAAAACUACUUGAGUUCUGUUUUAAGCCUUUUCAUCCUGGCAGGAAGGACUACCAUACCUUCUUCCUUCUGAAUCAGCUUGGUCUACAUGAUAAUUUUCUUGUCUCCAGACUUUCAGAAAGGGAAAAGAAAGCAAUUAUCUUCACUCAACUGACAUGAAUUUCAAGGCUCUUUAAGCUAUCUGUUCAACUGCUUGGCCUGUCCACACAGCUUUCCAAGACAACCAAACUGAAGAUAGGAUGCUUAGUGCUGUACCAGUAUGUGUCUGAAGACCUACAAAAAAGGGCUGAUGAAACUCUACCAAGAGAUCACCACUCUGUUUUGAAUCCUGUGAGUGGACAAGCACAGCCUCACAGAACUUGUGUAAAUAAAGAACAGGCAAUCCGAUGCAGAGCUAUGGCAGGCUACGUCGUUUGGAGUGGAAUAAGCAUCUCAGUUUUGUCAGUACUUCCCACUGCCGUAGAUUCUCUCGUGGGAAAAAUGCCAGGGAGUGGAUCUUGACAGAGUAUGGUACAAGCAUGGCUGAUUCACAGGCUCACGGCCAGAGCCAGGAGAAUAAUGUGGAACUCCAUGCAAAGAAGGCUGUGGCACAAGGCUGGUCAUCCAGGAGCACACACAGAACUGCAGGGAACAGAAAACAAUGCAAAGGGACUCUGGAGAGGCGGGGGAGCCCAUGGACACACACGACUAGCUCAAUAACCAGUUUGUUACACGAAGCCAUCUAGCAUACCAUUCAAAUGAACAGCACACAGCUUGGCCAUCAGACUCCAGCCGGACCCCACCAACAAGGCAAAGAAGAGAAACGGACAACUUGUAUCUAACUUAACAAGUUCGGCUUUCUCUGGGAUUGCGAGGCUCUGCUAACACGUCAAGUACGGUGGCAGCCCACAGCACCUGGUGCUACAGAGCACAGCUACGAGAACUCAGAACGUUUACAGCUCUGCCAUACUUCGCGAUUUCCUGCUCAGGACUGCUAAGUGAUUACUCACCCGAUACUAUAUGAGCAUUACUCAAUGAAAGAACCGGACGAGAUGGGAAGUUUCACCUCAGCCCGCCUGGCUCCCCGCGCGACAGCGCCCGUUCCGGCAGCACCGCGCCGCUCCCAGCCGCUGCAGGGCAGCGCCGUUCGGACGCGCUUCUGCGGGCAUCGGCGGGCCGCGAGCGGAGCGCCGCGGGCAGCGCAGAGAGGUAAUUGCCGCCGUGCCGAGAGCCCGGGCACGGCACGAGCCGCCCACGUCGUCUGAGAAGUAAUGAGGGCAGAUGUUUAUUAAAGGCUUCCUAACGACUCUGCUAACUUCGCCGCCUCGCUCGAGUAAGCUUCCGACAGCUACACGCGGCAAUUACUCGAGAGCGAGCGCGGAGACGGAGCGCGAACGACAGAACGAAGGGACGGAAAGGCAGAAAAGCCGCCAGGCGGAACCGGGCUCCUCGUGAAGAGGUGCGCGCGAGCCCGGCCCGGGGGCGGCGGAACCGCCUGGGAUCGGGACCGCGCCGGCAGCUCCGGAGCCCACCGAACCCCGGGGCUCCGCCCUCCUCUCACCUUCCG